RNAcentral lists this long non-coding RNA (305 nucleotides) under Androctonus crassicauda. Lineage: Eukaryota; Metazoa; Arthropoda; Arachnida; Scorpiones; Buthidae. The record is from RNAcentral.
AAAACAACAGUGAUAUAAAGAAGGACAACGAUUCAAAUGUAACUUAAUUAAUAAUGAUUAUUGUUAUGAUGUCAAAAACUUACAUAUAUACAGAUAACUUGUCUGAUUCUUGCACAGAACAUAGAAAAACAUUCGACGAGGAAAGACUUAUACUAAGUCUCUCCCACUCCCUCAGUCCCUCUUCUGUCUUCUCCCUUCUCUGGCGGUCAGUUUUUUUUGCCUCGUUUUUCCGGCGACAACCCUUUACACGUGCUAGAUCCGAGAGGAAUUCUCUUUCUUCUUUACAGAGAAGUAAAAUUUAUUUG